UGCGGUAACGUGACCGAUCCCGGAGAAGCCGGCGGGAGCCCCGGGGAGAGUUCUCUUUUCUUUGUGAAGGGCAGGGCGCCCUGGAAUGGGUUCGCCCCGAGAGAGGGGCCCGUGCCUUGGAAAGCGUCGCGGUUCUGGCGGCAUCCGGUGAGCUCUCGCUGGCCCUUGAAAAUCCGGGGGAGA
RNAcentral lists this non-coding RNA (183 nucleotides) under Homo sapiens (human). Its description in RNAcentral is "Eukaryotic large subunit ribosomal RNA". It matches the Rfam family "Eukaryotic large subunit ribosomal RNA", at positions 1640 to 1822 of the family's 3401-position model. The record is from Rfam by way of RNAcentral. Lineage: Eukaryota; Metazoa; Chordata; Mammalia; Primates; Hominidae.